Molecule: ribosomal RNA, 253 nt
Filed under: uncultured bacterium
Lineage: Bacteria
Description: partial 16S ribosomal RNA
Rfam family: Bacterial small subunit ribosomal RNA
Source: RNAcentral
UACGUAGGGGGCAAGCGUUGUCCGGAAUGACUGGGCGUAAAGCGCGUGCAGGCGGACAUUUAAGUCUGAUGUGAAAGACCGGAGCUCAACUCCGGGAUUGCGCCGGAAACUGGAUGUCUAGAGGCAUGGAGAGGACAGUGGAAUUCCCAGUGUAGCGGUGAAAUGCGUAGAUAUUGGGAGGAACCCCAGUGGCGAAGGCGACUGUCUGGACAUGACCUGACGCUGAGGCGCGAAAGCGUGGGGAGCAAACAGG